AGAGUUUGAUCCUGGCUCAGGAUUAACGCUAGCGGCAGGCCUAAUACAUGCAAGUCGAACGGCAGCACGGGUAGCAAUACCUGGUGGCGAGUGGCGCACGGGUGCGUAACGCGUAUGCAAUCUACCUAUAACUGGGGAAUAGCCUUCCGAAAGGAAGAUUAAUACCGCAUAAUAUCACGAAGCGGCAUCGUUUUGUGAUCAAAACUCCGGUGGUUAUAGAUGAGCAUGCGUGACAUUAGUUAGUUGGUGAGGUAACGGCUCACCAAGACUUCGAUGUCUAGGGGGUCUGAGAGGAUGAUCCCCCACACUGGUACUGAGACACGGACCAGACUCCUACGGGAGGCAGCAGUAAGGAAUAUUGGACAAUGGCCGCAAGGCUGAUCCAGCCAUGCCGCGUGCAGGAUGAAGGUGCUCUGCAUCGUAAACUGCUUUUAUCUGGGAAUAAACCCCUCUACGUGUAGAGGGCUGAAUGUACCAGAAGAAUAAGGGUCGGCUAACUUCGUGCCAGCAGCCGCGGUAAUACGAAGGACCCAAGCGUUAUCCGGAUUUAUUGGGUUUAAAGGGUGCGUAGGCGGCUUAUUAAGUCAGUGGUGAAAGCCUGAAGCUCAACUUCAGAAUUGCCAUUGAUACUGAUGAGCUUGAGUAUAGUUGAGGUGGGCGGAAUGUGUCAUGUAGCGGUGAAAUGCUUAGAUAUGACACAGAACACCGAUUGCGAAGGCAGCUCACUAAGCUAUAACUGACGCUGAUGCACGAAAGCGUGGGGAGCAAACAGGAUUAGAUACCCUGGUAGUCG
RNAcentral lists this ribosomal RNA (793 nucleotides) under uncultured bacterium. RNAcentral's name for it is "bacterial SSU rRNA". It matches the Rfam family "Bacterial small subunit ribosomal RNA", at positions 8 to 796 of the family's 1533-position model. The record is from RNAcentral.